This 1091-nucleotide long non-coding RNA is filed under the name Homo sapiens (human). RNAcentral describes it as "HSALNT0193557". The record is from RNAcentral. Lineage: Eukaryota; Metazoa; Chordata; Mammalia; Primates; Hominidae.
GGAACUCUCUUCAAAGGUAUCCCUCCCCUGUGCAUGGAGAGACGCACCUGUAUGCCGCCCGGUGCCUCUGCAGAGCAACUGCAGCCAGCUGAAGCCGGGCCUCCACCACAAUCUCCAGCUCGCCAGCGGAGCACUGAGACAGGGUCUUCUGUUCCACCUCGGACAGAAGGAAGUUUAGCCUGUCCUCAGCUUCCAUCAGUAACAUCGACUAAGGAAAGGAUACCAUACAUCACAAUUCACCCCAAGUUCAAUUGCUCUUGAAGUCCCAUGGAUAUAUGUGAAGGCUUAUAGACCAUCAAUAUUUCAAAUGGCCCAACCACGAUCCAUCCAGAGAAAGAUGUGGAGAGGACAGUUUUGCCUAACACUGGAACAGCUCCUGACCUCAAAUCAAACCUGAAGCUCAGCUCCUGCAACUGUAGCCUUCCCUGCCAAAGGAAGAUGGAGUGGAAGGGAGAUUGGGAUCCCCAUUAGUUAGCAAACUAUUUCCCAUAGCUCCACAGCUCUGGGUCACAUAGCAAAUUUUAUAUUCCACAGAAGUCCCCUUAGCCACUGGGCUUCUUCUGGAGAAGGUUAAUGUAAUACAAAAUGGAAACUGUUUACUUCUUGCAAUUUCACCUGGGGAACCUCUAAUUGUCAGUCAACUGGCAGCUGCUAAUAGCAACAGCUUUUUAAAAGGAUUAGAACUGGUCUUAAAUGAUUUCAAACAUAAUACAAUACAUUUUUCUAUAACUAUGCCCUACAAACAUAACACGAUACCUUUUUCCACAAUUAAUGCAGCACAAAACAUUAAAAGUUGGCGAUUACCUUUGAGAUUUAGUUUCUUUUCUUUAGUAAGAAAUAAAAACACACCAUUUUAUUGCUGCCAAUUGCUCAAUUAUUCAGAAAAACAUUCUCAAUUUCUUCAGCUUUAGAGAAAAAAAAAACCUCAUUUCUUUUCCAGCACAGUGAUAUGUAUUAUAUACGAAUAUGACUAGGCAGCUAAAGGUUACCCAGGGGAUAGAACUAUUUCUUCAACCCAGAAAUGAAUCCCUUUAACAGUGAGAGGGGCACCAUUUUGUUAUUUUUAAAAAAUAAACAAUAUCUCACCAAGU